CCCUUAGAUGUUCUGGGCCGCACGCGCGCUACACUGAUCAGUGCAACAAGCAUCCGUCCUUGGCCGACAGGCCCGGGCAAUCUUUGAACGCUGAUCGUGAUGGGGAUAGACUUUUGCAAUUUUUGGUCUUCAACGAGGAAUUCCUAGUAAACGCAAGUCAUCAACUUGCAUUGAUUACGUCCCUGCCCUUUGUACACACCGCCCGUCGCACCUACCGAUUGAAUGGUCCGGUGAAGCCUCCGGAUUGGCGUACACCCUCGGGUGCUGCCGAGAAGUUGGCUAAACCUUACCAUUUAGAGGAAGGUGAAGUCGUAACA
This 317-nucleotide ribosomal RNA is filed under the name uncultured eukaryote. RNAcentral describes it as "partial 18S ribosomal RNA". It matches the Rfam family "Eukaryotic small subunit ribosomal RNA", at positions 1470 to 1796 of the family's 1831-position model. The record is from RNAcentral.